AGCGCCGGGGCCUGGCCGGCCAUGGCGGAGGUGGGCCGGGCGGCCGUGCGCGACCCGGGUGCGCUGCUCCCCGGGGGCUUCUGGGCGGCGGUGGCCGUGUGGCUGGAGAGGCCGCAGGUGGCCAACAAGCGGCUGUGUGGCGUCCGCCUGGAGGCCCGGCGGAGUGUUGCUGAGCCCCGGGCGGAGGACUGCGGGCCUCGGCCCAACGCCGGCCGGGAGCAGGAGGAGCGGGCCGCGGCCGCCCCGGGUCUGCGCCCCCCGGAUGGGGGCCUGGGUCCCGGGCCGAGCUCGGGCCCCGACCUGGGCGCGCCUCGGCUCGCGGGGGGCCCCGGGCAGCCCCGCGAGCCGGGGGUCGGGGACGCCGAUUUCCCGGCCUCGGAUCUGGAGUCCGCCUGGGACGCUUGCUCUCGAAGCCUCGCCGGCGGCGGCCCGGAGGUGCUGGCCUUCCUCGCCGGGUCCCCGGUGGGGUCGCAGCCAGGGGCGCCCCGCGAGCUGGACCUCGUUCUCAGAACCGUCAUCCCGAAAACAGGCCCGCACUGCCCGCUUGCCGUUCCCAGGAGGGAAAUGGUCGUGCGAGAUGUCCUCAAUGGAACAGUAACAUUUUUACCUUUGGAAGAAGACGACAGAGGGAAUUUAAAGGUUGAGACAAGCAACGCGUAUCAAAUCCGGCUCAGUCAGAGCAGAGAAGAAUGGUUUAUAUCUAUUUUAAUUUUCUGUCCAGAAAGAUGGCAUUCAGAUGGCAUUAUUUAUCCCAGACCCAGUUGGCUGGGAGAAGAGCUGCUGCCCAGGCUGGCCAGGUGGUCUGUGGACAGCAAGAAGAGCGGAUUUAAAAGCACCCUGUCCCUCAUUUCCAUCAUCAAAUACAGCAAGACUUACCAGAUGCUCAAGGAGAAGUAUAAAGACAUGGUCAAGGAAUGGCCUGAAGUAACUGAUCCGGAAAAGUUUGUGUACGAAGAUGUGGCUCUUGCUGCCUACCUGCUGGUUUUGUGGGAAGAGGAGCGAGAGGAGCAGGGCUUGACAGCCAAGCAGUCCUUUGUUGACUUAGGAUGUGGUAACGGUCUCCUGGUCCACAUCCUGAGCACUGAGGGGCAUCCAGGCAGAGGGAUUGAUGUACGAAGAAGAAAAAUCUGGGACAUGUAUGGACCACAGACUUGCUUAGAGGAAGAUGCAAUCACACCAAAUGAUAAGACCUUGUUCCCUGACGUUGAUUGGUUAAUUGGUAACCAUUCUGAUGAAUUGACACCAUGGAUACCUGUCAUUGCAGCCAGGUCUUCCUACGGCUGCCGCUUCUUUGUCCUCCCCUGCUGCUUCUUUGACUUCAUUGGAAAAUACUCCCGGAGGCAGAGCAGGAAGACUCAGUACCGGGAGUACCUUGAUUUCAUCACAGAAGUGGGGCUGGCCUGCGGGUUUCACGUUGAGGAGGACUGCCUUCGCAUUCCCUCCACCAAAAGGGUUUGUCUCAUUGGGAAAUCCAGAACAUACUCACCUGCUAGAGAAGUUUCCAUGGAUAAGCAGAGAACCCAGUAUAUUAACAGCAGGCGGGGCCACCUUGCCAGCCCAUCCGGCGAGACGCCUGCCUCUCUUCCACCCCGGGCUGCUGUGGGACAUGAGGGUCACCCCAACGGGCACCGGGCCCUGGACGUUGGGGCUGCCGAGGGAGGAGCAGAGGCCCCGGCUGAUGAACUCUGGCUGUCUGGAUUUCAACCUAGAGAAAAAGUUGAGCGCCUGAGGAACUGUGCCACCCUCCCUCGAGAUUUUAUUGACCAAGUGGUCUUGCAAGUGGCACAUUUGCUGUUGGACAGAGAGGAGCAGAUAAGCAUAGGAGAUGCUUCCAGCGGCAGCUCGAAGGCCUGGAACCGAGGAGGAUGAGUAAUGUGCUGAAAUCAGUGGUGUUCAAGAGAGAUGGGGGCCAAAGUGUGGACUGUUCCUGCUUCUGUAAAGUGUCCAGUCUCAGGCGGCUUGCUGGGCCCCAGCUGGUUUCUUCCCUGCCUCCGCUCACGGCUGAGAUGUUGACUGGCGACACCAGAGGGCGCUGUGGAGCUGGCUGUGCUGGGCAGUGCCAGAGAUUUGCCUGAGGUUUUGGGGUCAUUGGGGGGUCUAGGGGAGCCCUCUCUCAGCCUGUCAAAGGCUGCUGCCUGGCUGGCCCUGUGAGUGGGGGGCCAAGGAGGAGGCGGCAAGCCUGUCCUCCCCCACCCAUGAUUCUGUCCUGCCCUGAGCCUCCAUAGCCCUCGUGCACUUGCCACGCGGGAGUGCUGUGGAGCAUCUCCCCUUCUCUGCGAAUUACCCGAUGCUGGUGGUGUCUGAUGGAGGUGGGGGCUCUCCAGGGAUGUAGGGGCAACCCUGGCCAGAGCCCCCAACUCCAGGGGCCUGACCAUACGUGUAACUGGGCACCAACCCUGAGGCACCAUGGGCUGCCCUGUGGGUUGGCACCCCACUUCCUGCUGAGGUGGGGCCCAAGUGGAGAGGAAGGCAAGCUGAGGGGGAUUUCCAAUGGGGCCUCGAGUGCCAAGGAGCCCGCAGCAGGUGAGCAGGCGCCUCAGAGUCGUUUGAGGGCGUCUGAGAAUGUGGAGUUUGACCUUCAGACCACAGGAAUGAUUGAGCUCAGGAGGGGCUUGCCUGUGCCUGGGACAGAACUUUCUUGCACUAGGGUAGACCAGGUCUUCUAGGCUCAGACGUAGAUGUGAGUGGCUCUGAUCAUUAGGUCUCAGGUGUCAGGCCUGCUCACCCAUGAGAAACAUCCCAGAGCGGGGGGUGCCAUCCUCCCCACAUGGGUCUUGUUGCCCCGGAGCUGGCCGGAGGUGCUCUCGUGCGGUGGACAUGUGCCCACAGGCUCCUGCCCUCAGGUGGUCUUCCCACCUUUUGGUUGCUGGAAUUUAGUGACCCGUCUGAAACCUGCCCUUAUAUAAUGUAUGGGUGGGUCUGUCCCCAGGACCUCAGUGAUCUCAGUCCAGGGGUCUUCCCUCUGCAAGGCAUGGGUGAGGGAGCACAGGGCAGGAGGAGGUGGUCCCUGCCCUCACAACUGAGUCAACACACACACGACAGAGGAUGAGCACCUGGGAGGUCGCAGUGCAGAGCUGUGUGUGUGAGCACCAGCGUCCAGGGACUUGUGUGGGGCCAGACCAGGAGGGGCAAGGACGGCUGUCUGGGCCGGUUUUAGCCUUUUCCUUAGAUGUGCUGCUUGCUCUUGGAACGUGGUGGAGGCAGCUGAGAGGUGCAUCCUGAAGGUCAGCUAGGCUUGGUAGAUGGAAUCCCAGCCACAGGGUGGCUGCUCCCUGGGGGUCUGGGGCUGGGCCUCUAGAGUCUGUGUCUGGGAGGCAGGGGUGUCUCAGCUGGCUUACAGAGUCUCUGGGUGGGCAUAGGUGAGCCCCCAGGCAUGGGGCCUGGCAGAUGCAAAGUCCCUGGCAUCCCAGAUGGUGCUGGCUUGGCCCCUGCAGUUCCAGCUAGGUGCUAUGUGGUAUGGGCUCGCUCAGAGUGCAGGUAAAUCUCACGGCCUGCCCUGCUGACGUGCGUGAGAGACUGGGGUUGGCUGGACGAGAACUGGUCCCUGGGCCAAGCAGUGGGCGGGCUUGUUGGACAGUCUCUUAACGGCCUUUACAUUGUUAUUGUUGGGGAAACCCGGGUUUCAGGAAGCCUCUCCUUGACAGAAGUGGCCAAUGAGCUGGACCCAGAGACACUGCAGAGGUUGAAGCGGGAGUGUGGAGGCCUACAGACACUGCUCAGAAACAACCAUCAGGUGUUUGAAGUUCUGAAUGGGCGAGUUCACAUUCGUGACUGG
Molecule: RNA transcript, 3775 nt
Organism: Nyctereutes procyonoides (raccoon dog)
Lineage: Eukaryota; Metazoa; Chordata; Mammalia; Carnivora; Canidae
Gene: TRMT44
Gene name: tRNA methyltransferase 44 homolog
Exons: 11
Source: RefSeq, a predicted model, not a curated record